GUGUCCUUGGCCGAUCGGCAAAGGCGUCGGACUUCCAAUCCGAUCAGGCGGGUUCGAUUCCCGCAGGGCACUC
This 73-nucleotide transfer RNA is filed under the name Rubripirellula tenax. Its description in RNAcentral is "Planctomycetes bacterium Poly51 tRNA-Gly". It matches the Rfam family "tRNA". Rfam says of the family: Transfer RNA (tRNA) molecules are approximately 80 nucleotides in length. Lineage: Bacteria; Pseudomonadati; Planctomycetota; Planctomycetia; Pirellulales; Pirellulaceae. The record is from RNAcentral.